AGAGUUAAAUAGUACGUGAAAUUGUUGAAAGGGAAACGAUUGAAGUCAGUCGUACCGACGGAAAAUCAACUCUUCGAGUGCGGACUUUGUGGACGUGCGUGAGCUUUAACGGCCUCGCUGUUUGUAACGUUUGUGCUUUUUGGGUGUACUUUUUCGUAUGGUAGGCCAACAUCAAUUUUGAUUAUCAUAAAAUGAUUGAAGGAAUGUAGCUUCGAUCUCGUAUUGAAGUGUUAUAGCCUUUAGUAGAUGUGGUGAUUGGGACUGAGGAUUGCAACGAAUAUCCUUUGGGCUAUCCGUCUGAUCUCUGAAAGUCGCUUAGGUGCCGAAAGCUUGCUUACGGUCAUUUAAGUUUGACGGUCAAAAGGUUAGAACGUGAUUACAUUCGUUAAGGAUGUUGGCGUAAUGGCUUUAAACGACC
This 418-nucleotide ribosomal RNA is filed under the name Dominikia disticha. RNAcentral's name for it is "partial large subunit ribosomal RNA". Lineage: Eukaryota; Fungi; Glomeromycota; Glomeromycetes; Glomerales; Glomeraceae. The record is from RNAcentral.